Molecule: long non-coding RNA, 808 nt
Organism: Lycium barbarum (goji berry)
Lineage: Eukaryota; Viridiplantae; Streptophyta; Magnoliopsida; Solanales; Solanaceae
Exons: 5
Source: RefSeq, a predicted model, not a curated record
UAAAACAGUCCCAAUUAAACCCUUCUCUUUCCAUUUCUCCCUCUUUCGCUCUCAUAUUUUUGAGGUCCCUCUCUCUCUAAACUUAAUACACCAUUGACGUCACCAAGUGUAGGGAGUCACCGUCACCGUCGUCCACACCCAGUAUCGCCGUUGCCAUCACCAGUUAUCAUCAACAUUUGAGUUGUUUGUGCUUGAUUUAGGAGAUCAUUGUGCUGCUGCCUCUAUUGACAGCUUUGACGAUUAGUAGACAGCCUCCUUAAUCUUUAUGCAAAAUCAUCCUUUACAUUGUUCUAGAUAUUUCCACAUAUCUCAACAACUUUAGAUGGAGAUACAAAGUUGUUCUCCUCAUUAGCAAGACCUGCAGCCUCCCAAAUAAUGUUGAAAAGAAGGAAAUGGAUUUUUAGCAAACUAAAAGGAAAAAUGUGUCUGGCGCCCGGAACAUGAGACGCAGCUAGCUCAAAACUUCAAGAAGAAAGCCCAGCGCUUACUAUGUUUGAAUGUUAAUGUUGUGGUGGAUUUGUGGAUUGUGUAAGUGUUUUGUGGAUUUUUGCGAGCGGUGAAGUAGUCUAAUGUUGUAGACUAACUUAGUCUAAUGUUGUAGACUAAUUUAGUGUAGAUCUACUAGUUUAAUGUUUUGUGAAUGUUUGCAAAGGUUGUGAAGUAGUUUAAUGUUGUGUAGAUGUUUGCGAAAGUUGAAGUAACUUAAUGUCUCUUCGGAAUGUUUGAAUGACGUUUUGAUUCAACUUUGAAGUAGUUUUGAAUUGAAUUUGACGUAUUGUUGGUUGUAAUAUAUGUGGUUGUUGAAGUA